Molecule: unclassified non-coding RNA, 377 nt
Filed under: uncultured Actinomycetes bacterium
Lineage: Bacteria; Bacillati; Actinomycetota; Actinomycetes
Description: uncultured actinobacterium contains 16S-23S intergenic spacer region
Source: RNAcentral
UCCGAGUUGACCCCGGCAGUCUCCUGCGAGUCCCCGCCAUUACGCGCUGGCAACAUGGGACAGGGGUUGCGCUCGUUGCGCCACUUAAGGCAACACCUCACGGCACGAGCUGACGACAGCCAUGCAGCACCUGUGCGGGCCCCCGAAGAGGCGCCGUGUUUCCACGGUUUCACCCCGCAUGUCAAGCCCAGGUAAGGUUCUUCGCGUUGCGUCGAAUUAAGCCACAUGCUCCGCUGCUUGUGCGGGCCCCCGUCAAUUCUUUUGAGUUUUAGCCUUGCGGCCGUACUCCCCAGGCGGGACACUUAACGCGUUAACUGCGGCACAGAGGGAUUCGACUCCCCCCACACCUAGUGUCCAUCGUUUACGGCUAGGACUAC